Molecule: non-coding RNA, 106 nt
Organism: Danio rerio (zebrafish)
Lineage: Eukaryota; Metazoa; Chordata; Actinopteri; Cypriniformes; Danionidae
Source: RefSeq, a predicted model, not a curated record
GGGAUGCGCAGGUCUGAUGGACUGCCAGUGGCCAUCAAGUACGUGUCGAAGGACCGGACCCCAGAGCGACUGAAAGUUGAUGGUCAGGGUCGGCUGCUGCUGGAGG